GACAGAGGUGCCGAGCGUUAGGCGGAAUCACUGGGCUUAAAGCGUGUGUAGGCGGAUUCCUAAGUACCUUGUGAAAUCCCACGGCUUAACCGUGGAACUGCUUGGUAUACUGGGUGUCUUGAGCCAACUAGGGGCGACCGGAACAAACGGUGGAGCGGUGAAAUGCGCAGAUAUCGGGAAGAACACCCGUGGCGAAGGCGGCACUCUGGGACGGUACUGACGCUGAGACGCGAAAGCGUGGGGAGCGAACAGG
Molecule: ribosomal RNA, 253 nt
Filed under: uncultured bacterium
Lineage: Bacteria
Description: partial 16S ribosomal RNA
Rfam family: Bacterial small subunit ribosomal RNA
Source: RNAcentral